This is a long non-coding RNA of Myotis davidii, 82 nucleotides long. RefSeq lists it as uncharacterized. The transcript is spliced from 3 exons. NCBI's taxonomy places the organism in Eukaryota, Metazoa, Chordata, Mammalia, Chiroptera, Vespertilionidae. The record is from RefSeq and is a predicted model, not a curated record.
GCUGAUUAGCCAAUGCGAGGCAUAGCGAAGGUAUGGUCAAUUACCAUGUUCAUCUAUUAUUAGCUAGGAUUUGAAGGAAUAG